RNAcentral lists this ribosomal RNA (1471 nucleotides) under uncultured Bordetella sp. RNAcentral's name for it is "partial 16S-23S ribosomal RNA intergenic spacer". It matches the Rfam family "Bacterial small subunit ribosomal RNA". Lineage: Bacteria; Pseudomonadati; Pseudomonadota; Betaproteobacteria; Burkholderiales; Alcaligenaceae. The record is from RNAcentral.
GGUUUGAUCAUGGCUCAGAUUGAACGCUGGCAGGAUGUACCCGCCACAAAGUCGAACGGCAGCACGGACUUCGGUCUGGUGGCGAGUGGCGAACGGGUGAGUAAUGUAUCCGGAACGUGCCUAGUAGCGGGGGAUAACUACGCGAAAGCGUAGCCUAAUGCUACAUGCAACCGCUCGGGGAAAGCGGGGGACCUUCGGGCCUCGCACUAUUAGAGCGGCCGAUAUCGGAUUAGCUAGUUGGUGGGAGUAACGGCUCACCAAGGCGACGAUCCGUAGCUGGUUUGAGAGGACGACCAACCACACUGGGACUGAGACACGGCCAGACUCCCCUGCGGAGGCAGCAGUGGGGAAUUUUGGACAAUGGAAACCCUGAUCAACUGCAUCCGUGCGAUGAAGGCCUUCGGGUUGUAAAGCACUUUUGGCAGAAAGAAACGGCACGGGAUACCCCGUGCAACUGACGGUACCUGCAGAAUAAGCACCGGCUAACUACGUGCCAGCAGCCGCGGUAAUACGUAGGGUGCAAGCGUUAAUCGGAAUUACUGGGCGUAAAGCGUGCGCAGGCGGUUCGGAAGAAGAUGCUUGAAAUCCCAGAGCUUAACUUUGGAACUGCAUUUUUUAACUUCCGAGCUAGAGUGUGUCAGAGGGAGGUGGGAAUUCCGCGUGUAGCAGUGAAAUGCGUAGAUAUGCGGAGGAACACCGAUGGCGAAGGCAACCUCCUGGAAUAACACUGACCAGCGCUCAUGCGAAAGCGUGGGGAACAAACAGGAUUAGAUACCCUGUUAGUCCGCCCUAAACGAUGUCAACUGACUGUUGGGGCCUUCGGGCCUUACGGUAGCGCAGCUAACGCGUGAAGUUGACCGCCUGGGACAGUCACCAAGAUUAAAACUCAAAGGAAUUGACGGGGACCCGCACAAGCGGUGGAUGAUGUGGAUGGUCGAUGCAACGCGAAAAACCUUACCUACCCUUGAAGCACUUCAUCUGGAAUCCCGAAGAGAUUUGAGUGCUCGCAAGAGAACCAGACACAGGUGCUGCAUGGCUGUCGUCAGCUCGUGUCGUGAGAUGUUGAUUAAGUCACAACGAGCGCAACCCUUGUCAUUAGUUGCUACGAAGACACUCUAAUGAGACUGCCGGUGACAAACCGGAGGAAGUCGGGGAUGACGUCAAGUCCUCACAUGGCCCUUAUGGGUAGGGGCUUCACACGUCAUGCAAUGGUCGGGACAGAGGGUCGCCAACCCGCGAGGGAGCCAAUCCCAGAAACCCGAUCGUAGUCCAGGAUCGCGAUCUGCAACUCGACUGCGUGAAGUCGGAAUCGCUAGUAAUCGCGGAUCAGCAUGUCGCAGUGAAUACGUUCCGGUCUUGUACACACCGCCCGUCACCAUGGGAGUGGGUUUUACCAGAAGUAAGUUAGCUAACCGUAGGAGGGCGAUUACCACAGUAGGAUUCAUGACUGGGGUGAAGUCGUAACGAGUAG